GGUCAAGCGAACAAGUGCAUGUGGUGGAUGCCUUGGCGAUCACAGGCGAUGAAGGACGCGGUAGCCUGCGAAAAGCCCCGGGGAGCUGGCAAACAAGCUUUGAUCCGGGGAUGUCCGAAUGGGGAAACCCACUCCUUUUGGAGUAUCCGUGACUGAAUACAUAGGUCAUGUGAAGCGAACGCGGUGAACUGAAACAUCUAAGUAACCGCAGGAAAAGAAAUCAACCGAGAUUCCCAAAGUAGUGGCGAGCGAAAUGGGAUGAGCCUUGUACUCUUUAUUUGUAUUGUUAGCCGAACGCUCUGGAAAGUGCGGCCAUAGCAGGUGAUAGCCCUGUAGGCGAAAACAGUAUGAAAGAACUAGGUGUACGACAAGUAGGGCGGGACACGUGAAAUCCUGUCUGAAGAUGGGGGGACCAUCCUCCAAGGCUAAAUACUCGUGAUCGACCGAUAGUGAACCAGUACCGUGAGGGAAAGGCGAAAAGAACCCCGGGAGGGGAGUGAAAUAGAUCCUGAAACCGCAUGCAUACAAACAGUCGGAGCCUCUUUAUGGGGUGACGGCGUACCUUUUGUAUAAUGGGUCAGCGACUUACGUUCAGUAGCAAGCUUAACCGUAUAGGGCAGGCGUAGCGAAAGCGAGUCCGAAUAGGGCGUUCAGUUGCUGGGCGUAGACCCGAAACCAGGUGAUCUAUCCAUGGCCAGGAUGAAGGUGCGGUAACACGUACUGGAGGUCCGAACCCACUAACGUUGAAAAGUUAGGGGAUGAGCUGUGGAUAGGGGUGAAAGGCUAAACAAACCUGGAAAUAGCUGGUUCUCUCCGAAAACUAUUUAGGUAGUGCCUCGUGUCUCACCUUCGGGGGUAGAGCACUGUCAUGGUUGGGGGGUCUAUUGCAGAUUACCCCGCCAUAGCAAACUCCGAAUACCGAAGAGUGCAAUCACGGGAGACAGACAUCGGGUGCUAACGUCCGGUGUCAAGAGGGAAACAACCCAGACCGCCAGCUAAGGUCCCCAAAUAUGGCUAAGUGGGAAACGAAGUGGGAAGGCUAAAACAGUCAGGAGGUUGGCUUAGAAGCAGCCACCCUUUAAAGAAAGCGUAAUAGCUCACUGAUCGAGUCGUCCUGCGCGGAAGAUGUAACGGGGCUAAGCCAUAUACCGAAGCUGCGGAUGCGUGCUUGCACGCAUGGUAGGAGAGCGUUCCGUAAGCCUGCGAAGGUGCCUUGUAAAGGGUGCUGGAGGUAUCGGAAGUGCGAAUGCUGACAUGAGUAGCGAUAAAGGGGGUGAAAGGCCCCCUCGCCGUAAGCCCAAGGUUUCCUACGCAACGUUCAUCGGCGUAGGGUGAGUCGGCCCCUAAGGCGAGGCAGAAAUGCGUAGCUGAUGGGAAGCAGGUCAAUAUUCCUGCACCGUCGUUAGAUGCGAUGGGGGGACGGAUCGCGGAAGGUUGUCCGGGUGUUGGACGUCCCGGUCGCUGCAUUGGAGAAGGCGCUUAGGCAAAUCCGGGCGCAGGAUUCAAGGGUGUGGCGCGAGCGACUUCGGUCGCGAAGCAAUUGGAAGUGGUUCCAAGAAAAGCCUCUAAGCUUCAGUCUAACGAUGACCGUACCGCAAACCGACACAGGUGGGCGAGAUGAGUAUUCUAAGGCGCUUGAGAGAACUCGGGAGAAGGAACUCGGCAAAUUGGUACCGUAACUUCGGGAUAAGGUACGCCCUUGUAGCUUGACUGGCCUGCGCCAGAAGGGUGAAGGGGUUGCAAUAAACUGGUGGCUGCGACUGUUUAAUAAAAACACAGCACUCUGCAAACACGAAAGUGGACGUAUAGGGUGUGACGCCUGCCCGGUGCCGGAAGAUUAAAUGAUGGGGUGCAAGCUCUUGAUUGAAGUCCCGGUAAACGGCGGCCGUAACUAUAACGGUCCUAAGGUAGCGAAAUUCCUUGUCGGGUAAGUUCCGACCUGCACGAAUGGCGUAACGAUGGCCACACUGUCUCCUCCCGAGACUCAGCGAAGUUGAAGUGUUUGUGAUGAUGCAAUCUACCCGCGGCUAGACGGAAAGACCCCAUGAACCUUUACUGUAGCUUUGCAUUGGACUUUGAACCGAUCUGUGUAGGAUAGGUGGGAGGCUAUGAAACCGGAACGCUAGUUUCGGUGGAGCCGUCCUUGAAAUACCACCCUGGUUUGUUUGAGGUUCUAACCUUGGUCCGUGAUCCGGAUCGGGGACAGUGCAUGGUAGGCAGUUUGACUGGGGCGGUCUCCUCCCAAAGGGUAACGGAGGAGUACGAAGGUACGCUAGGUACGGUCGGAAAUCGUGCUGAUAGUGCAAUGGCAUAAGCGUGCUUAACUGCGAGACCGACAAGUCGAGCAGGUGCGAAAGCAGGUCAUAGUGAUCCGGUGGUUCUGUAUGGAAGGGCCAUCGCUCAACGGAUAAAAGGUACUCUGGGGAUAACAGGCUGAUACCGCCCAAGAGUUCAUAUCGACGGCGGUGUUUGGCACCUCGAUGUCGGCUCAUCUCAUCCUGGGGCUGUAGCCGGUCCCAAGGGUAUGGCUGUUCGCCAUUUAAAGAGGUACGUGAGCUGGGUUUAAAACGUCGUGAGACAGUUUGGUCCCUAUCUGCCGUGGGCGUUGGAUAUUUGAAGGGGGCUGCUCCUAGUACGAGAGGACCGGAGUGGACGAACCUCUGGUGUACCGGUUGUGACGCCAGUCGCAUCGCCGGGUAGCUAUGUUCGGAAGAGAUAACCGCUGAAAGCAUCUAAGCGGGAAACUCGCCUUAAGAUGAGAUAUCCCUGGAGGCUUGACCUCCUUGAAGGGUCGUUCGAGACCAGGACGUUGAUAGGUCGGGUGUGUAAGCGCAGUAAUGCGUUCAGCUAACCGAUACUAAUUGCCCGUAAGGCUUGAUCCU
Molecule: ribosomal RNA, 2882 nt
Filed under: Burkholderia multivorans CF2
Lineage: Bacteria; Pseudomonadati; Pseudomonadota; Betaproteobacteria; Burkholderiales; Burkholderiaceae
Description: bacterial LSU rRNA
Rfam family: Bacterial large subunit ribosomal RNA
Source: RNAcentral